AGCUCAUGGCAACACUGGAUCUUUUAACCCACCAAGUGAGGCCGGGGAUCAAAACCACAUCCUCAUGGAUACUAGUCAGGUCCAUUGCUGCUGAGCCAUGAUGGGAAGUCUUAUCUGUACCACCUCUGAGUAUGGCUUUAAGGUAUCUUCAAUAGCAGGGGGGGAGGUAAUCACAGGUGUUCGGAAAAAAAUCCACCCCAUCCUAGAAAACAAAACCUCAAAGGUAAAGCCAAACAGAGCAGGUGAGUUAAUUUGAACAAAAAGCUGGCAAUUUCAUCACUAAGCAGGUGAAGGGUUACCAGGAACGGGACUGGGACCAGGUGCUUUCACUCACACUUAAAAAAAACCAGAACAGGCUUCAGAGACUGUGUGGGGCUACCAAACAGAGGAAGCCUGGGCUCUGGAGAGGAGGUCUGAAAAUGAAAUGGAAAUGAAUCUUCUAGUCUCUGGAUAUAAGCAUAAAAGAGCAGAGUGCUUUGCUGAUGAGAUAUUUCCAGACCUUCGGCAAAAUACCCAGUAGAGGGUGAUUAUGGUAAGAAGCACAAAUAUUGCAAAGCUGGACAUGAUAGAGAUGAUUACAGUCAUGGAGUAUGUAGGUGAGACAGAGAAGGAGGAAGAAGAGGAGGAAGGCACAUUUGGAAUGUCCACACUCGGCUUUGAGGAUGUCAUUGGUGGGAAUGCUGUGAUGGUGGGGACUGGGAUUCCUGUUGCUGUGCAGCGCAGGGUCACAAAGGAGCCAAAGGUGACAUUGUGGGAUUCAGGAGCCCGCAGGAUUCUGGCAAAAACUGUUGGGAAGACAGAAGUGCUCAGCAUUAUGUGAGAUGCAAACAUGAAGGCAGAUGAUGCUAUUACUAUUCCCAUUUUCGGAUGAGGAAUGAAGGCUACAGGUGGUUAAAUAACUUGCCCAAAUAAAACAAAAGCAGGAAGUGAUGCAACUGAACUUUAAGGACUACAUCCAUUUAAGAUGAAUAUAUUAAAGCUCUUGAGGAAUUAGAAUCUUCCCGUAUGAAGCUGGCAAGUUGACGAGCAGAUAGGAGAUUCCUAAAAGUGACAGAUUUGCUUUUAAUACUCCAAAGAGGUCC
This is a non-coding RNA of Sus scrofa (pig), 1082 nucleotides long. Lineage: Eukaryota; Metazoa; Chordata; Mammalia; Artiodactyla; Suidae. The record is from RefSeq and is a predicted model, not a curated record.